This 497-nucleotide ribosomal RNA is filed under the name uncultured bacterium. Its description in RNAcentral is "partial 16S ribosomal RNA". It matches the Rfam family "Bacterial small subunit ribosomal RNA", at positions 28 to 507 of the family's 1533-position model. The record is from RNAcentral.
GAUGAACGCUGGCGGCGUGCCUAAUACAUGCAAGUCGAGCGAACAGACGAGGAGCUUGCUCCUCUGACGUUAGCGGCGGACGGGUGAGUAACACGUGGAUAACCUACCUAUAAGACUGGGAUAACUUCGGGAAACCGGAGCUAAUACCGGAUAAUAUAUUGAACCGCAUGGUUCAAUAGUGAAAGACGGUUUUGCUGUCACUUAUAGAUGGAUCCGCGCCGCAUUAGCUAGUUGGUAAGGUAACGGCUUACCAAGGCAACGAUGCGUAGCCGACCUGAGAGGGUGAUCGGCCACACUGGAACUGAGACACGGUCCAGACUCCUACGGGAGGCAGCAGUAGGGAAUCUUCCGAAAUGGGCGAAGGCCUGACGGAGCAACGCCGCGUGAGUGAUGAAGGUCUUCGGAUCGUAAAACUCUGUUAUUAGGGAAGAACAAAUGUGUAAGUAACUAUGCACGUCUUGACGGUACCUAAUCAGAAAGCCACGGCUAACUACGUG